Molecule: small RNA, 85 nt
Filed under: Flavobacterium branchiophilum
Lineage: Bacteria; Pseudomonadati; Bacteroidota; Flavobacteriia; Flavobacteriales; Flavobacteriaceae
Description: Flavo-1 RNA
Source: RNAcentral
GGUUUGCGUGAGGGAUAGUAGUGGAAAUCCUUUUUGCCCCUCUUUUUGGGGCAAAAAAGAUUAUUUCACAAUAUUUCAUUUCUUU